Long non-coding RNA from Cyprinus carpio (common carp), 2046 nucleotides. RefSeq lists it as uncharacterized. The transcript has 8 exons. The record is from RefSeq and is a predicted model, not a curated record. Lineage: Eukaryota; Metazoa; Chordata; Actinopteri; Cypriniformes; Cyprinidae.
CUACAAUUAAACAUUCCAGCAUAAAUAUAAAAGAAAAUCAGAGAUGGGGAAGAUUGACUCAGGAGAGAUUGGCGAGGUAGAUCCUCACACUGAUAGUGCAAACAGCUUGCUUCUAAUUAAAUAUGCCACCGAGUCUCAAAGCAUUUGCUUUCUGCCGCAGAGAGAGGAAGCUGCUGAGAAUGUGAGGAAGAAAUGUAUCGCCCCAUCUCUCCGGCCGCAGGCUUCCUUUGGGCAUCUCAAGAUCCAGCCUUCAACGCGGUACGAGUCGGCGAAGGAGGACGCCCGCUUUCUGCUGGAAACCAUUAUUAAACGUGUGGGAAUCUAAGAGGACUUGAGUCGGCUUCCCUUCACAGGAGACGUUCAAGUGAAAAGCCGCUACUUUUUUCCCUACCGCUUCUUGGUGGAAUAUUGCCGGAAGAUGGUGUGGAGCUGUAGAGGGACUGAGGCGGGUGGGAGCAGCCGCGCAGCGAGCACUCUGAGCGGGCACACGGAGCGAGUGGACGCUGAUGGAUCAUGAGAGCGGCCGCCGGAGGAAAGGGCAGCCGGGAAGAGCGCUCGGUCGCCGGGUGCGCAUGUGAGGAUCCUCCCGGGAGGCAGACGGAACUCUGGAUGUGUCAGUCAAACUGAGUUGGAAACGAGGACUGUGAGCGACACCACAGCGUGUAAGUUUCUUGCCUGUAAAACUCUGCUCUGCUUGGGGAGAUAAAACGGCCCAAAUGAAACGAAGACGCACGUCAAGCAUGGCGGUGAUAAUUGGAUUGUGUGGACACCUGUAUGAGUGCAGUAUAUCCAGGGGAUUAGAGAACGGGAUGGCUUUUACAGGUUCUGCCCAAACCUGUGAGCUGAAUUCUCCUGAUUCGUCAGCUCGCGGAUGACCAGAUCUGAGGACACUGGUGUCAGCGAACUUCGAGCAUCAACUUUGACCUCUCAGUAAAUUUAGCUGGACCCAUGCGUUUCACAGGUAUAUCAUCCAUAUUUAAACACAAGCAAACAACAGCUGGAAGUUGACAGUACACGUUCUCCGUUGUGAGAGACAGGAGCCUCUUUCUCUGUUAAUUGAUUGGGUGUUGAGUGGGCGGAAAAGGCAGAGCUGAAGCCCCAAAGCGCAGCGCCUGAAUUAAAACUUCAAUCCCCCAUAUGGAGUCCCUGCGCUGUAGGCCUUCGAUGGGGGAAGGGGAUUGACCCUGCUGUUCAACUCAUCUCUUUCAACGUGAGAACAGUUUUGAAGGAUCCCUUGAAACACGUUUAUUUUGUAUGGCGUCAACAAGACGGCAGGAGUUCAAUUAUCUCUCCCACAGAAGGUUUGAUGGAAAGAACCUUGCAGGAACAACCAGAGAACAAGUUUAUUUCUUAGAUAGCUUAUGAGACUUUUUUUCUUAAGCUUGGACUAUUUUCACUCUUGAUUCAAUCCUGAAUGUGGGCCAUACACUCAGAAAUAAAGGUACAAAAGUUGCCCCUGGGCCAGUACUCUUUCCAAAGGUACUAGGUACCAAUAUAUACCUUCAAGGUACUAAUAUGCUACUUGUAGGGGUACAUGUACAAAGGUGCACCCUUUAAAAAGGUACUGCCCCAGCGACAGCUUUUGUUGUGUAUUAUUUGAUUCUGUACCACGGCACAAGUGUUAUUAAUGUGAAUAUUAUUGGCAGCUGUUUACUACUGUCACUAGGUAACGACUCAUGAGGAGAAGAUGCCAACUUACAUGCUAUUUUAUUUAUUUAUUUUUUAUUUUUUUGGAUUCAUUAAAAUAUGCACUGAAAUAAUCGCAUCUGUCUGCCAGAAGAAUGAAUUGCUUCAACUUUAACAUGACUAACAGCAAUGGGAAAUGCAUGAUAUUAUAAUAGGCAAAUUAUAUUUCAUUAUUAAUGGUUCAUUUACACAAUUUACUUUGGACUGCUUUUAAACUACAGAUCCAAAAAUAUCUUGCAUUUUAAAUAAAUAUAUUGGCAGUUAUGUGUUUUCAUGUAUACAAAACAUUUCAUAUUGUUUGUUAAAUUAAGUGUGUUUUUUUUAAAGACAAUUAAAAAUAUAUAAUUUUUUAAGCAAAUU